GACGAACGCUGGCGGCGUGCUUAACACAUGCAAGUCGAACGGAAAGGCCCUGCUUUCGUGGGGUGCUCGAGUGGCGAACGGGUGAGUAACACGUGAGUAACCUGCCCUUGACUUUGGGAUAACUUCAGGAAACUGGGGCUAAUACCGGAUAGGAGCUCCUGCUGCAUGGUGGGGGUUGGAAAGUUUCGGCGGUUGGGGAUGGACUCGCGGCUUAUCAGCUUGUUGGUGGGGUAGUGGCUUACCAAGGCUUUGACGGGUAGCCGGCCUGAGAGGGUGACCGGCCACAUUGGGACUGAGAUACGGCCCAGACUCCUACGGGAGGCAGCAGUGGGGAAUAUUGCACAAUGGGCGGAAGCCUGAUGCAGCAACGCCGCGUGCGGGAUGACGGCCUUCGGGUUGUAAACCGCUUUCGCCUGUGACGAAGUGUGAGUGACGGUAAUGGGUAAAGAAGCACCGGCUAACUACGUG
This 468-nucleotide ribosomal RNA is filed under the name uncultured bacterium. RNAcentral's name for it is "partial 16S ribosomal RNA". It matches the Rfam family "Bacterial small subunit ribosomal RNA", at positions 28 to 507 of the family's 1533-position model. The record is from RNAcentral.